This 374-nucleotide ribosomal RNA is filed under the name uncultured organism. RNAcentral describes it as "partial 16S ribosomal RNA". It matches the Rfam family "Bacterial small subunit ribosomal RNA", at positions 527 to 896 of the family's 1533-position model. The record is from RNAcentral.
GUAGGAGGCAAGCGUUGUUCGGAAUCACUGGGGCUUAAAGGGCGUGUAGGCGGAGUGGCAAGUGUCGGGUGAAAUCCCUCGGGCUCAACCGAGGGAAUGGCUUGGCAAACUGCCACUCUUGAGGCGGGUAGAGGUGAGUGGAACGACUGGUGGAGCGGUGAAAUGCGUAGAUAUCAGUUGGAACGCCGGUGGCGAAAGCGGCUCACUGGACCUGUCCUGACGCUGAGACGCGAAAGCGUGGGGAGCGAACAGGAUUAGAUACCCUGGUAGUCCACGCCGUAAACGAUGCGCACUAGGUAUGAGAGGUUCUGACGCCGAUCGUGCCGUAGGAAAACUGAUAAGUGCGCCGCCUGGGGAGUACGGCCGCAAGGCUA